UGUUUCCUACGGGGCGCAGCAGUGGGGGAUAUUGCACAAUGGGGGGAACCCUGAUGCAGCGACGCCGCGUGGGCGAUGGAGUGCUUCGGCAUGUAAAGCCCUCUCAGCAGGGAAGAAAAUGACGGUACCUGACUAAGAAGCCCCGGCUAACUACGUGCCAGCAGCCGCGGUAAUACGUAGGGGGCAAGCGUUAUCCGGAUUUACUGGGUGUAAAGGGAGCGUAGACGGCAGCGCAAGUCUGAAGUGAAAUCCCAUGGCUUAACCAUGGAACUGCUUUGGAAACUGUGCAGCUCGAUUGCCG
RNAcentral lists this ribosomal RNA (301 nucleotides) under uncultured bacterium. Its description in RNAcentral is "bacterial SSU rRNA". It matches the Rfam family "Bacterial small subunit ribosomal RNA", at positions 333 to 651 of the family's 1533-position model. The record is from RNAcentral.